AGAGCUAUAAGCAUGAAUUUGCGAAGAGCCCCGAGCCUCUCGCUGGUGACUUCCUUGUGUGGAAUGCACCGAAGCCAGACUCUCCGUAGGGGACGCCGAUUCAGUCGGUGGCAAGCUGAUAGGUACCCUUGUAAGGUGCUAUGGUUGGAAGCACCAUGAAAGUUACAGGUUGGUAUCAGAGCUAUAAGCAUGAAUAUGGGAG
This 202-nucleotide long non-coding RNA is filed under the name Panax ginseng (ginseng). RNAcentral describes it as "long non-coding RNA (PGIN_LNC010262)". The record is from RNAcentral. Lineage: Eukaryota; Viridiplantae; Streptophyta; Magnoliopsida; Apiales; Araliaceae.